Molecule: non-coding RNA, 295 nt
Filed under: Phascolarctos cinereus (koala)
Lineage: Eukaryota; Metazoa; Chordata; Mammalia; Diprotodontia; Phascolarctidae
Source: RNAcentral
GCCAGGCAAGUUGGCACACACUUUUAAUCCCUGCUGCUAGGGAAGCUGAGGCUGGUGGAUCCCCUGAGCGCAGGCUAUAGUGGGCUGAACCAAUUAAGCAUCUAAACUAAGCAACCCCAGUGUGGUGAGCUGCCUGGGAAGGAGCUGCCAGGCUGCCUAAGGAGGGGCAAAUCAGUCCAGGUUGGAAACAGAGCAGAUCAAAGCUCCCAUGCCAAUCAGUAGUGGGAUUGGGCCCUUGAGUGGCCAAGGCAUAUCCAGCCUGGACAAGGUGGUAAGGCAGGGAGACCCAGUCUCC